UACGAAGGGGGCUAGCGUUGUUCGGAAUUACUGGGCGUAAAGCGCACGUAGGCGGCCUUGUAAGUUGGGGGUGAAAUCCCGGGGCUCAACCUCGGAAUUGCCUUCAAGACUGCUUGGCUCGAGUUCGGGAGAGGUGAGUGGAAUUCCCAGUGUAGAGGUGAAAUUCGUAGAGAUUGGGAAGAACACCAGUGGCGAAGGCGGCUCACUGGCCCGAUACUGACGAUGAGGUGCGAAAGCGUGGGGAGCAAACAGG
This 253-nucleotide ribosomal RNA is filed under the name uncultured bacterium. RNAcentral's name for it is "partial 16S ribosomal RNA". It matches the Rfam family "Bacterial small subunit ribosomal RNA", at positions 524 to 776 of the family's 1533-position model. The record is from RNAcentral.